This 1288-nucleotide long non-coding RNA is filed under the name Oryza sativa (Asian cultivated rice). RNAcentral describes it as "long non-coding RNA (OSAT_LNC000008)". Lineage: Eukaryota; Viridiplantae; Streptophyta; Magnoliopsida; Poales; Poaceae. The record is from RNAcentral.
GAAGAAGUCGGUACAAACAUCUGAAAUGCUCUGUUUUGUUUUGUUUCAAUCAAAAUCCCAAAUGCACAGCCCCAUGUUAACAGAACUCUUGUUUGCUGUAGUGAUCUGGUACAAGAACAGCUUCUUGAUCAAUUUCAUGCUGAGAUGGAUCCCUCAAUACGAAGGCUGUGUGUAUAAAACAUCCAAGACACAGGUCAACAGAAACCCAAAAAGAAUAAAUAGCUUGAUUUGUGGAAUAUUUAUUCAUUACAUGCAAACACCUACCGAACGAAAUGACAAAACUACAUCCUUCAUUUAAUCGCUGUUUUAACAUUUCUCCAAACUUUGUCAUAACACGAUUCAUACAAAGCUAAACUUUAUACAUUCAAUGAGCCAUGACAAAUGUGAAUUUAACAAUGUUUCUGAACUCCAAGCAAAUUUAUGACAAAUUGAUUCUGCACUGAUUUAAGUUUUGCAAAAUAAAUGUGCUCUCUACAGACACCCACUAAUUGACCUAACCACAAUGACACCUACUGGGCAAACUUUCAGUUCAUGGACCAUAAUAGUAGGAUUUUUUUUUUUUUUGCAAUUUGAGUAUGGUUCUAUAUCCGAAUGUGCAAUAUGAUAAUUGGGUUUUCUGAAGAUGAAUUCUCAAAUAUUAAAUCGGAAAUUUGUACUCUACAUGAAUUAUACCAAUGAAAUCUGUGUUAGAAAAAUGAGUUCAGGAGUAUUCUUGAUGCUCAGGACAUAGUUUCAUGUGUAUAAUCUCUAGGAAAAGGAACCUACCUAAGAUCUUAUUGCCUGUCUUUUAUCCACAUUGUCUUUCUGUAUGUACAAUUUGGCUCCUCAAUGAUCAGUGCAUGAUGCUACAGAAUAAUCUCAUGCAUGCCCACAAAAUACACAUAUUUGUAAUAUAUGCUCUUUACCUUCAUUAACAAAUAUAACUGUGAGGAGAUAAUUGUUUCACAGAACCACUCAAUCAAAAUUAAUUACUUGUGUCACAUCAAAUAAGUGGACCAUGUCCAAUGCAUUCUAAAUGCCAAUUUGUCUGUUGUACCCUUUUUUCAGCAAAGCCAGUUUCUGAUGUUCAGUGUGUCAAAUUAUGGUCAUAUCAAUAAAUCAUGCAUUUAUAUGUCCAAUCACAAACAACACAUAAAGAGAAGGCAACAAAUAUGCAACACAUUAACAUUAAGGCACAUAAUUAAUUUAUUAGAAAGAUACAGGCUAAAUCAAAGAUAAUGAUCAUCACAAACGCUGUAGAUCUAUGCUAAGAAAUGAAAUAAUUAAGUGCACAUGAUUUCAGUAGUAC